AGCUUUGCACAGAGGCAAUAUUGUAGCCAAUGAGGUUUAUGCAAGGCGUGAUCAUUGCUAAUUGAACUUUUCCCAAUACCCCGCCAUGACGCCUUGCAAAUAUAGUCAGCAUUGGCAAUUUUUGACGGUGUCUACGGAGA
This is a small nuclear RNA of Otolemur garnettii (small-eared galago), 140 nucleotides long. Its record names the gene U4. It matches the Rfam family "U4 spliceosomal RNA". Rfam says of the family: U4 small nuclear RNA (U4 snRNA) is a component of the major U2-dependent spliceosome. The record is from Ensembl. Lineage: Eukaryota; Metazoa; Chordata; Mammalia; Primates; Galagidae.